GACGAACGCUGGCGGCGUGCUUAACACAUGCAAGUCGAACGGAAAGGCCUGCUUUCCCUUGUGGAUUGGGGGUACUAGAGGGGCGAACAGGUGAGUAACACGUGAGUGAUCUGCCCCCAACUUGGGUAGAAGCCUGGGAAACUGGGUCAAAUGCCCGAUAGGACUGCAGGGUGGUGCCGGUGGUGGAAGACGAUGUUCUAGUGGUUGGGGUUGAGCUGGCGGCCUAUCAGCUUGUUGGUGGGGUAAUGGCCGACCAAGGCGGGGACGGGUAGCCGGCCUGGGAGUGUGGACCGUCACAUUGGGACCGGGAUACGGCCCAGACUCCUACGGGCGGCAGCAGUGGGGGAUAUUGCAGAAUGGGCGGAAGCCUGAUGCGGCGACGCCGCGUGGGGGAUGGCGGCCUUCGGGUUGUAAGCUCCUGUGGACCGCGAGGAAGCCACCUGGUUGGAAGGGUGGUGACGGUAGUGGUAGAAGAAGCACCGGCUAACUACGUG
Molecule: ribosomal RNA, 494 nt
Filed under: uncultured bacterium
Lineage: Bacteria
Description: partial 16S ribosomal RNA
Rfam family: Bacterial small subunit ribosomal RNA
Source: RNAcentral